GAGCCCAUUUAUUUUUUUGUUCCUCCAUGUAACCCCACAAAAAAUCACGUUUGUUCAAGAUAGCUUCAGUGAGACUCUAUCAAAUUGAAACGAACUGCAGGAACAGACACUUUUUCUCAGUGCAUGGCUGCCACUCUUGGAGAGCAGGAAAGAUGUGCAGUAGGAGCACCUGAGCGGCUCUUCACCACAGCUCAGGAGGGGAGGGGAGGACUCUGAGGCUCAGGAGGAGAGGGGAGGACUCCAUGCCUCAGGAAAAAUGGGAAGAAUACCACAAAGUCUGUGCAAGUUUUUACUUGGCAAGUGGCAUUUCCCUGGGUGAUCCUGAGACACAGACUUCCUCUGUCUUACCUGCCAUCCCUUGGAUCUUACAUUAUCUGCAUCAAGUGGGCAGAGUGGAAAGAGAAUAGGAAGUUCCGAUCUAGAAGGCACAUUUCUGCACAUAUUCCAAUUGUGAGAACAAGCCACAUGGCCACACUUAGAAGCAAACAAAGCUGGGAAACAUGGUCUCUGGCUGGGCAGCCAGUUAUCAGCAGUAACUCUUUUCAGAUGCUCUUCAACCUACAAUGUGGCUCUGUCCCAAUAAACCCAUUGUAAGUUAAAAAUAUCAUAAAUUGAAACGCAU
Pan paniscus (pygmy chimpanzee) is the source of this 622-nucleotide long non-coding RNA. NCBI's taxonomy places the organism in Eukaryota, Metazoa, Chordata, Mammalia, Primates, Hominidae. The record is from Ensembl.